Equus caballus (horse) is the source of this 1566-nucleotide long non-coding RNA. The record is from Ensembl. NCBI's taxonomy places the organism in Eukaryota, Metazoa, Chordata, Mammalia, Perissodactyla, Equidae.
CUUGAGUGCUUCAUCAAUCUCUAGGAGAUGAAUUCUUCCCCAGGAUAAAUUCUUUCCCAGGAGGUUUCUCAAUGCCUCAGGUAAAUAAUUAUCUGCUGGACCUGCCACACUGGCUCCCAGAAAUGCUCAAACCUGCCUCAGUUCUAGGAAGAACACAGACUAGGCUGCUAACUUCAGAUGUCAUCCUCUGUAGAUGUGUCAGGAACGGGUCUCAAAGUUUUACAGGAGGAGAAGACAAGCACAUCAUUACGGCAACCAUGUGACAAGCUCAGUGCAAGACACUUGAAAUGCGUUUUCUCUAAUCCAUUCAACCAUUUUUGGUAGGCAUAGUUUUCUACAUUUUACAGAUUGGGAAAGUUAGGGCUCCUUCAUUCAACAAGCAUUUAUGGAGUACUUACUAUGUGCAGCCACUGUUCUAGGCAUGUGAGAUACAUCAGUCACCAAUGUAGGCGAAGAUCCUUACCCUUGUGGAGGGUAUAUUCUAGAGGGGGGAAACUGAUAAUAAAUCAUUAGCAUAAUAAUACAAUAAAUUAUAUAUGUGAGAAGGCAAUUGGUUCCAUGGAACUUCAGAGAGGUUUCAAUUCAGCAAGUAUAUUUUGAGCAUCUCGUAAAUGCCAAGCAUUGGGAAUAAAAUUAAGAAUCAGAUAAACAUGCAUGCUUAUAUGGAGCUCGCAGUCCAGUGAGGCCACCGAGUAAGUGGCACAACCAGGAGUUAAUGCCAGGGGUCCAGUUCUGUGCUGGUGCUGACAUCCAUGGCAGGAACAUCUUAAUGAUAAAGUUUCUUUAAACACUGAGCACAAGAAUUUCCUCUGUAUGAAGACUUCCUCGGGCUCUCCUCUCACCCUCGAAGCGUGGUUCACUUCUCCACCUGCCACCCGUGUGUCCUCGACAUAGCCCUCAUGAAGCAUUUUGUUCCCCUGGGCUGCCUCUGUUGACUUACACACCUCUUCUCUGGGAGCUCCUGGAGACCAGGAAUUGUUUUGUACAUCUUUAUAUCCCUGUACCAAGGAUUUUGAUCAUCUGUGAAUAACAGGAAACCUGAUUAAACAGUGGCAUCGGCAAAUUCGAGGUUGAUUCUUUUUUAAUGCAACAAGAAGUCUGGAAGAGGUUGGUUGCUGUUUGUCGCUGCCUCAUUGCCUCAGGGAUGUCAUGGCUGAAGCCUGGCUGCCAGGACUCCAGUAUUCCCAACCCUGUGCAAGCAGGAGGAAGGGUCAGCACUUACAGCAGCAAAGCCAAGCCUUUUCAAACAUUCCUGGCAGUCUUCCACAUUCAUCUCGUUGGAUGGAACUGUGCCACAUGACCACUCCUAGUUACAAGGGAGGCUGGAAAGUGGGUUUUUUAAAAUUGGACACAUUGCUACCUGAACAAAAUCAGUGUUUGCUAGUAAAGAAGAAGGGGAAAGUGAAUAUUGGAAGGUAUCUAGACUGUCUGCCUCAAUCCCGAAUACAAAGCCUAGUGCCCAGCACCAUACUAUCGAGAAAGCACUCAACAACUAGUUAUUGAAUGAAUAAAUGGGUGAAUAAGUAAAUGACUUUUUGGUCCAUGUCACAUGGUCUGGGACUCUUC